UUACUUCAGUGCUGCAUCCUGUUUUUGGAUUUUGUAAAUGGUUUCAUUUAACUAAAAAACGGACAUGACACAUCUGAUGGAUUGAUCAAUGAGAUUUUACAGUUUUGUUUUUUUUUUUUUAAAUUAACAAUGUUGAUUUCGAGACCAAAACUAAUGGAAGAACCUUCAGAAGACCACUGAAGAGCAACUAAAGGAUGGAAACCUCUACUCUUAAUAAUUUAAUAUGAAUACAGCAGCAAACUGUGGUUGUCCCGGAAGUGACAGACACAAAAGAGAGAGAUAAGUUUGUUUUUAUUAUUACAAAUUGCUUGAUCUGCUUCUAUGGCUAUUUAUUUCUUGAUGUAUUUAUAAAGCCUGUAAUAGGCAUGUAAUAAAUGUGCUGUUACAAUCUUAGACAAGUUUGUGACUCCUACUGCAUCUAUUGAGAAAUAAUUCUCAAUUAUACAUUUAUUAUAUGGUUAAACAAUGUGUUUAAUUUAUAAAGUGGCAUAAUUUUUUUUAGUUACAAAAAAUAUUAUUAGCUGUAUAUAUAUAUAUAUAUAUAUAUAUAUAUAUAUAUUCAUAUUAAUCUUUUAUUGGACUGCCUUUGUUAGACAGUGCGCCCUCUUGUUGACAUUUGUAAAAAAAAAACGAUUGUUAUGGUACGUAGAAAUAUUGCUCAUGAAAUCUUUCAUAUUUCCAUCAAAACCUGUUUUAGUACUAAAUCAUUACAAUUAAAGAUAAUAUUGAUAAUACUGAGUAACUAAUGAAGCUUUUAUUGUAUGUAAAAAUGACAGCAGUGCUCCGUUUAGGUGGGUUCAGAUAUCAACAAAAGGCUAAUAGGCUGUUAGCAUAUUAGCCUUUUUUGUAAACCGUUGUGUUGCAUCUGUAGUUAGUCUAUAGAGUUUAUAAAUUGCUAUCGUAAUCUUAAAUUUACUGCUAUUGUUAUUUACUAAUAUUUAUUAUUUAGUUGCAGUUUUUGUUGGCUUCUUGUUUUGGGCACUUGUCCAUCCGUCAAGAUCAUCAAACUGCUUAACUUGAGGCUUAUAAUGAGUAAUUUUGAAUAUUACAGUUUUGAAUAUUACAUUAUUAUACAAUAUUACAAACCCACAAAGCCCACAAGCUAUCAUCAUUACAUAUGAUAAACGAAAUAUUUUGUUUGCUUGAAAAGUGGGUUUACAGUGUCUUCAAGGCAGAGUAAUGAUGAAACAUGCAGGUUAAACAUAUAUGACGUCUUUUGAGCAGUUCACGUCUUCAUUAUGGCGGUCAAACUCCCUUAUAAUUCACACUCUGGAUAACUACUCCUGCUAACUACUGUUUUAUUUGCAUUUGUUUUCAGGGUGCAAUGUUCUGUAUGCCCCAUCAGCCCACAGCAGGUCAAAUUAAGACCUCUGUCCAGUGUGUGGAGAACCCUAAAGGAUUAGGUGGAGUGAUAAUAUAUGACUGGGAGACGUUCACCAUGGACAAACAACACUUGGUGGCAGUUUGUGAUCAUAUAGAAGACUCCUACAACUCUACUAAUAAACAAAAUCUCCCCUUUGAGGGGAAAAACUCAGGUGAAGACAAGAAAUGCAGAGAAAUAAAGGGAUUUCACCACUA
This is a long non-coding RNA of Labeo rohita (rohu), 1578 nucleotides long. RefSeq lists it as uncharacterized. Lineage: Eukaryota; Metazoa; Chordata; Actinopteri; Cypriniformes; Cyprinidae. The transcript is spliced from 3 exons. The record is from RefSeq and is a predicted model, not a curated record.